RNAcentral lists this transfer RNA (64 nucleotides) under Branchipolynoe segonzaci. RNAcentral's name for it is "Branchinotogluma segonzaci tRNA-Leu". Lineage: Eukaryota; Metazoa; Annelida; Polychaeta; Phyllodocida; Polynoidae. The record is from RNAcentral.
UUCAUGUUGGCAGAUAAAUGCUAUUGAUUUAAGCUCAAUCCAUGGAAAUUAUUUCCACAUGACA